UUUUUUUAAACCAACCGUUGGGUUACACAUAUUGGGUCAAUGGGUUAUCUUAAAAUUUGUUGGGUAUUUUCUUUUUUUUCUUUUUUUGUCGUUGGGUUAAGAUAUAACCCGACUGUUGGGUUAAAUAUGUUUCCUGCUUCACUCCUGUUCAAAUUUUAACGGUCCAGUCAGAGACUCAGUGGCAGUCUGCCUGAUGGGUAAGAAACUGUUAAUAUAAUCGUAUGAUGUAUAUAACUUUCAUAACAUUAAGUAAUGUGUCUGUGUCCGUUAAUUCUUGUUUUUUUAUACGUUAAAAAAGUUUUAAUUCCCUUUAGUCCAUUUGCUUCCCUCAGAUAAUCAGAUCGAUUGUAAAUGAAUGCUAUUCCUGUUUGUUCGCCAGCAUUAAUACACUAAAAUAUUAGCUGCAAAAAAAUGUUUAGACAAGUAUUACUUAAAGUUAAUAAAAAUGUUAGAAAAGCCGCUCGGACCAUUUAUCGGAUCGGACCAGUGAAAGAAGCUGCUCGAGCUGAGCUCACACAUCAGUCAUGUGACAGACAGCAGACUCCGCAAGAAUCGUUUGAAUGAACCUGCAAUUUUCUGUUAUAAAAGUUAAAAACCCAGACGAAAGAAAAGCGCGCAGUCGUGAGGUAAUCCCAUCUUUCAGCUGAAAUUUAUACCAGUGCCCCAAAUUUACAUAGCAUUAAUGUUACUCCUACAACCAACCUUUAAGAGGGGAGCGUAAAACAGCACUAAUUAACUGUACUGUAAAAGUGUUUUUAUGAUUUAUUCAUUUUGAAUAUUGUUAUGCAUCUAUUAGAAUACCCUAUAAUUACAGCAAUUUCUCUUAUGAUGCUAGAUUGACUGACAUGUUUUUUAAAUGUAUUGUACUAAAUGUGUUUAUACUUAUGUUUUAGACAAUGGAUUUUUUCGUGAAGGAAAAAUUGCAACAAUAGAAUUUCUGCCUGUAAACUGAAACAUUUCAAGGCCUUCAUGCAGAAAUUGUCUUUAAAACCCUUCCUGCCAUCUGCUCCAUACCACACAAAUGGAAGAAUUGUGUGCACAUCAUACACGGAAACGAAGCGGUCCUUCAUUGACAUUCAACCUGUUGGGACUAAUUAGUGCUGUACUUGUAUCAUGAGACAAGCCAGAAUCCACAUGUCCUGGUGCUUGGUGACAAGGAAAACUCCCAAGAUUUUAUUAUUUUAAACGGGGAGGCGAUGGAACAGUAGACGAUACUACAAGCAGUCGAUCUGUGUUACAAACUUUUCUUUGUACAGGUCCUUCUAAAAUAAUUAGCAUAUUGUGAUAAAAGUUCAUUAUU
Long non-coding RNA from Carassius auratus (goldfish), 1300 nucleotides. RefSeq lists it as uncharacterized. The transcript is spliced from 3 exons. Lineage: Eukaryota; Metazoa; Chordata; Actinopteri; Cypriniformes; Cyprinidae. The record is from RefSeq and is a predicted model, not a curated record.